This 83-nucleotide transfer RNA is filed under the name Bacteroidota bacterium. Its description in RNAcentral is "Bacteroidetes bacterium tRNA-Tyr". It matches the Rfam family "tRNA". From Rfam's summary of the family: Transfer RNA (tRNA) molecules are approximately 80 nucleotides in length. RNAcentral also lists the same sequence under 4 other names. The record is from RNAcentral. Lineage: Bacteria; Pseudomonadati; Bacteroidota.
GGGGAGAUACCAAAGCGGCCAACUGGGGCAGACUGUAAAUCUGUUGUCUUACGACUUCGCAGGUUCGAAUCCUGCUCUCCCCA